RNAcentral lists this ribosomal RNA (319 nucleotides) under uncultured eukaryote. RNAcentral's name for it is "partial 18S ribosomal RNA". It matches the Rfam family "Eukaryotic small subunit ribosomal RNA", at positions 1470 to 1796 of the family's 1831-position model. The record is from RNAcentral.
CCCUUAGAUGUUCUGGGCAGCACGCGCGCUACAAUGGUCUUCGCAAACGGAUGCAUUCUCGAAGGAGAAUGCCAAUCUUGCAAUCUAUGCCUUGGUCGGGACAGUUGCUUGCAAUUUUUCGACUCGAACCAGGAAUUCCUUGUAAUCGUGAUUCAUCACAUCACGAUGAAUACGUCCCUGCCCUUUGUACACACCGCCCGUCGCUCCUACCGAUCGAAGAGUUAGGUGAAUUGUUUUGAUCGAUAAGAUUUGACUAUGGUCAACUCUCGUUGUGAAAUUCUGUGAAUCUGACUGUUUAGAGGAAGGAAAAGUCGUAACA